RNAcentral lists this ribosomal RNA (402 nucleotides) under uncultured Acidobacteriota bacterium. RNAcentral describes it as "uncultured Acidobacteria bacterium partial 16S ribosomal RNA". It matches the Rfam family "Bacterial small subunit ribosomal RNA", at positions 355 to 774 of the family's 1533-position model. Lineage: Bacteria; Pseudomonadati; Acidobacteriota. The record is from RNAcentral.
UCGGGAAUUUUGCUCAAUGGGGGAAACCCUGAAGCAGCAACGCCGCGUGCGGGAUGAAGGCCUUCGGGUUGUAAACCGCUUUUACCAGGGACGAUAAUGACGGUACCUGAUGAAUAAGUCACGGCUAACUACGUGCCAGCAGCCGCGGUAAUACGUAGGUGACCAGCGUUGUCCGGAUUUACUGGGCGUAAAGAGCGCGCAGGCGGUCCAAUAAGUCGAGUGUGAAAGCCCCCGGCUCAACUGGGGAGGGUCAUUCGAUACUGAUGGACUUGAAGGCAGGAGAGGGAAGCGGAAUUCCCGGUGUAGUGGUGAAAUGCGUAGAUAUCGGGAGGAACACCAGUGGCGAAGGCGGCUUCCUGGCCUGUUCUUGACGCUGAGGCGCGAAAGCUAGGGGAGCAAACG